UACGUAGGGGGCAAGCGUUGUCCGGAAUCAUUGGGCGUAAAGCGCGUGUAGGCGGCUCGGUAAGUCCGCUCUGAAAGUCGGGGGCUCAACCCUCGGAUGCGGGUGGAUACUGCCGGGCUAGAGUGCGGAAGAGGCGAGUGGAAUUCCUGGUGUAGCGGUGAAAUGCGCAGAUAUCAGGAGGAACACCAAUUGCGAAGGCAGCACUCUGGGACGUGACUGACGCUGAGACGCGAAAGCGUGGGGAGCAAACAGG
This 253-nucleotide ribosomal RNA is filed under the name uncultured bacterium. RNAcentral describes it as "partial 16S ribosomal RNA". It matches the Rfam family "Bacterial small subunit ribosomal RNA", at positions 524 to 776 of the family's 1533-position model. The record is from RNAcentral.